Astyanax mexicanus (Mexican tetra) is the source of this 636-nucleotide long non-coding RNA. RefSeq lists it as uncharacterized. The record is from RefSeq and is a predicted model, not a curated record. Lineage: Eukaryota; Metazoa; Chordata; Actinopteri; Characiformes; Acestrorhamphidae. The transcript has 3 exons.
UUUUAGCUAGUAUCUGUCAAGUGGUAAACAGUCAGUCUGUAAAGAAAUACUAACUGAUAUUAAGCAUGAAAUUGGAGUUAAAGCUUUAUUUCCUUCAAUUUAUUUGAGUAGAGUGUAUUAAUGUACUUUAACUUGGUGUUUAUUGGCUCCCUGCUGUUAUUCUGUGGUACUGCUCUGCUAGCUACGUAGCUACGAUAGCUACACUGCACUGAGACAGUACAGAGGCACCCUCCUCAGCUAUGUGGACAAGAAUGAGAAUCUGAGACACAUUGAGAACCAAGGAACCCAACUGUUACGGCUGAACAACUGAUUCAGAACAUUUCCAUAACAUCAGACAGGGCUUGUGUGGUGUUCCCAGUAUGCAGAGGCCCCUGGCUGGUGGUCCUCAAACUAUCACUGGACUCCAGAGCAGUGGAGAUGUGUUGGCUGGAGUGAUGAAUCAUGCUUCUCCUUCUAGAUAUCUGAUGGAUGAAUCUGGGUUUGGUGGUUGCCAGGAGAACGAUGGAUUUCUGACUGUGUUGUGGGCAAGUGUAAAGUUUGGUGGAGGGGGGAUCAUUAUUAUUGUGGCGUUGGGUUGUUUUCCAGGAGUUGGGAUUGACUCCUUUGUUCCAGUGAAAGGAACUCUUAAUGCUUUAG